Molecule: long non-coding RNA, 3461 nt
Organism: Rhineura floridana
Lineage: Eukaryota; Metazoa; Chordata; Lepidosauria; Squamata; Rhineuridae
Exons: 3
Source: RefSeq, a predicted model, not a curated record
AGCUCACAGCCUGUCUCUUGAAGCCAUCCUCGUUUGGCUCGCUCCAAAUGCAGUUCAGCAAGACAAGAAUUGUACGUGUGUGAGGGUGUGUUUGCGCCUGUAUGUAAGGACCUGAAGGACAUAAUGCACUGAGACAGCUGAGACAAGAUUUUUGAAAGUCAAAGGUGCCACGCAAAUCCAAGGACAGUUGUUUUACCAAUGGAAGUCUGAUGCUGUUUGUGUUGUUAUCCUCUGUAAAUUUACUAAAAGUAGAUCUCACUGAGUGUUUUAGCCAGCGAGAGAAAAUUACUGUCAGGACUGAUACAUUGCCAAUAAAUGAAGAAGCAUUACUUGUUUAUAAUUGACCGGGAUCGUGGAUGAAAAUUAUGUGGUGUGUGAUAAGAAUCCUCUAAAUCAACAAUCUCUCUUUAUAAUCAAAAGAUAAAUCAUAAAGUUUUAUUAUGAGGUAAUUUCUUGGGCCAUUUGGAAGCACCUCGUUCUGCUGCGCUUCCAGCCUGCAAUCUGGACUGUGUGAUUUUACUUGUGGUAAAUGGCUUUGUAGACAGCCUUGCCUUGCAGCUGGAUAUAGAGAGACUGGAUUUGUUAGCCUUUUCUUCAGCAUUUCAUUGCCAGUCUAAACUUCAAAAGUACAAAACUUGAUUUCACUACUUCUGAACAGAACGGUUAUGAGACACCAACCUUUUGCCUCAGAUUCUGCAAUUAGUAACAUACAGGUAAAACAACAGCAUUGUGGCUAUAUACAGAAAUAUUAUAGUAAUAGUUCAUACUAUUGGCAGGUCAAAUCAUGCAAUAUGUAUUAUUUGUUCUAUGGGAGUAUUCUGAAACAAGGAUACAGUUGCCACCUGAUCCAUCUCAAUAAGUUCCCCCAAAACAUAUACCAUAACAAAUAGGUUAAUCUUUACGAUUUUCUAUUGAUUUUGGUUGCCACCUCUCUGGGACUAGGCACAGAGUUCCUCUGACCAUCAAGGUUGAUAGAACACAUAAAGCCAAUAAAAAUAACAAUCGGUUAAACCAACUGCAGCUUAUUUAUAAUGGCUGUUACAAGUCAGUUUAUGAGGACAAAAGCUGGACAGGCCUCCCUUGGCAAGGAGUUCUAGAGCCUGGGAGCAGCUGCUGAGAAGGCUCUUUCCCACGUUCCUGUUAAAUGUGCUUCUGAUGUAAGUAGGUCAGAAAGAAGGGCCUCUCCUGAAGGUUUCAAAAAACCUGGUCCCAAGACAUGUAGGGCUUUGUAACUAACUAAGAGCAACAAGGUCAUGUUGGCCAGGAGUUCCAGAAGCUGUAAUCCAAAACAUGGAGGGCACCAGGCUGGUGAAGGCUGCGUUAAUCAUUAAGCAAUCCCUAGUAUUCAUUCCUAUUUAAGAAUUGCAUUGCCGGAUCAAACCAAGGUCUACUUAGUAAAAAAUUAUUCACAAAAAUCCCAGCACCAGACAUUUCACCAGUUAACAGUUGUGCGAACAGAUCUUAAAAAGUCAAUAGCAGGCAUGCUGCCCCAGGUGAUCCAGAUUUGAGCCCUGGCAUGAAGGGUGGGAAGACUUAACACUUUGUACCCUGCUGCAAUCUGAUUGGUGCCCGUGCAUCUAUUAUUUGCAUUGGAAAGGAAACUCCCAUUCAUGCCAAAACAAGCUUACCUUCGAACAUCAUGUGUGUGGGGUGCAAUUCAUACCUGGAUUAGGCAAUGGGCAAAGGGUUAAAGCUCUUUAAACCUCCACCCUCCCCAGAUUCUGAUCCAGAUCAGCUGGUCCACAAAUGCCUGCUAUGUACAGUUAGCAAUUCCAUGAAUGGCAUCUUGUCUAGUUUGGUCCUUAAUAAUCUGUGCAAAAGUUCUGAAAGAUAAGCCUGCAUCAUUAACCUCAUGUACUGGAAGGGGGGGGAAGAGAGAGAGAACAGAAGAGCUGCCAAGAGAUAGCAGCUUUUCCAGGGCCACCCACUGAGUUCCUAUUUCUGGUGUGAUUUGAACUGGGUACACUCUACUAUGUCAGGCUUCUCUCUUGGUAGCCCUGCCCCUUAAAGACAGGUGUGUAUAGGCUUAAAGGGAAACAGUGACUAAAAGAUAUUUUGCACAUGCCCAAAGGCACUCUGUUUCACAUGCUUCUGAGUUGAGCCUUAGCACUAAAAGCUAGAGCGAGACCUAGUAAGCCAGCAGUAAUUAGAUCUGGCAGAGGCACUAAGUUAGCCGACAAGUAGGGUUGCCAUAUUGCCCGGUUAGCUGGGUUUUACUCAGAUUCUAAGCAUGCUACUCUGUGCCCAUGUAGCCUAUUAGGUGGCAUGGAUACCCAACUCUUUUUUUUAAGCAAGUCUCUAACCCCUGUAGAUCCAUUCUGUACAAGGCAAAAUGCAGGUGCAAUUUUCUGCUCAAUAUUUUCAGCCUACUCCCACCUUCCAUUGUUCUUAGCCAGUGAGGAUACCACAGCUGAACUGGGAAAAUCAAGAAUUUUUGCCUGUCUGCCUGCUGCAUAUGUAGAAUCUAGGCAGUUUAGAAAACUGCACAUGAUCAACAUGUGCAGCUCCGCCCCUUAUCCAGAGACUCUAGCUCACAUUCUGGUAGAGUCAGCAAGGAGAAACAGCCUUCAUCUCGAUUGCUUCUGUUUCUCAGGGUAUGUGUCUUAAGUGGUGGAUGCAAUGGAGUAUGGAAUAAUGGGGUUUGAAUUCACCAGAUGCUCCCUCCCCUGAACAAAUAAAAGAUAUAAAAGUAAAUAUCUCUGUAGAAAAGGCUGGGGUAUUAGCAUUUGCACUUUUCAGCCCUGCCCCCACUCUGGUAAAUGGUACUUACUCCCCAGUAAAGGUGUAUUGGAAUGCAGUCUCACUCACCCUGAUGCCCAGCAGAGCCUUUGUUCAGCAAUUCAGAAAAUGCUAAAAAGUAUUUAAUACAUAUCCUUCAAAAUGACUGGCAGGCAUAUCCCCAUUGAAGAUCAUCCUACUUUGUUUCCUCCCUGUGGAUAGAUGUACUCUCUCUCUCUCUCUCUCUCUCUCUGUGCAGUAGAUGGGGAUGGAAACUUUUCCCCCUUAAGACCAAUAGGAAUGGAACAAUUCACCCCAAACUCACCACCCUGGGGAAAGGGAUUUGCUCUCUAUUUGGUAUUUUUUCCUCUUGAUGCUACAUGUCUUCCUCCUGGCAGAGGCCCCCUAGCACAGCUUGCCAGGUCUCUAGAAUUCACUGCAUUUUUAAAAAAAGAGGUGCUAGCACAUAAGUUUCGAUCAAAUUCCAGCCUUUAUAACAGAAGACUGUGUUUCCCCUCUCCCUAAUGUGGUAUGUGAGAAUCAGUGUACUAAAGACACUUCUCACACACUCAGAAACUACUUUCUUUAGAUAAGAUUGACUGAUAAUAUUGAAAUCUCAAUUUCUAUCUGCGUUUCAGGUUGUAGGAAAUUUCCUAAUUGUUGCUACAGACAACCUCUUGGUCACCACGUUGCUUUUAAUUGAUGUUUUGGUGGCUUUUUGUUUUAUGCUUGAUUUUUAUACU